GUCUCAGUAGCACAGUGGUUAGGGCACAGCCCCGGAAAGGUUGAGACGCGGGUUCGGUUCCCGCCUGGGAUG
This 72-nucleotide transfer RNA is filed under the name Nippostrongylus brasiliensis. It matches the Rfam family "tRNA". From Rfam's summary of the family: Transfer RNA (tRNA) molecules are approximately 80 nucleotides in length. Their secondary structure includes four short double-helical elements and three loops (D, anti-codon, and T loops). The record is from Rfam by way of RNAcentral. Lineage: Eukaryota; Metazoa; Nematoda; Chromadorea; Rhabditida; Heligmosomidae.